RNAcentral lists this ribosomal RNA (468 nucleotides) under uncultured bacterium. Its description in RNAcentral is "partial 16S ribosomal RNA". It matches the Rfam family "Bacterial small subunit ribosomal RNA", at positions 28 to 507 of the family's 1533-position model. The record is from RNAcentral.
GACGAACGCUGGCGGCGUGCUUAACACAUGCAAGUCGAACGGAAAGGCGCUGCUCUUGUGGGGCGCUCGAGUGGCGAACGGGUGAGUAACACGUGAGUAACCUGCCCUUGACUUUGGGAUAACUCCAGGAAACUGGGGCUAAUACCGGAGAGGAUCUCCUGCUGCAUGGGGGGGGUUGGAAAGUGUCGGCUGUUGUGGAUCGACUCGCGGCUUAUCAGCUAGUUUGUCGGGUAGUGGCUUUCCAAGGCUUUGACGGGUAGCCGGCAUGGGAGGGUGACCGGGCACCAGGGGACUAAGGGACGCACCAGACGGCUACGGGAGGCAGUAGGCGGGAGCAUGACGCAACGGGGGGACGCCUGUGAUAGCGGCCCCGGGUGCGUGAUACCGGCCUUCUGGGUGUGAACCGCUGUGGAAGGAGACAUAGAGGGAUUGACGGUAACGAGUCAAGAAGCACCGGCUAACUACGUG